GAUGUGGAGCCAUGAGAGAAGCACAGUGAGGCAGCUGCUGCAUAGCCUGGACAUUUACACGCUUCAGGGUCAGAAACCGAACAAAUCUGACGUCUCAAAGACCCGCUUCCAAAUAAAACACCAAGUUUAGACAUUCUGGAGCUCUUGAGGAAACCCAAGAUUACAAUUUUAGUUUGAAGAAAUGAAGUGAAAUGUGAGUGAGAGCCGGAGUAAAGGUUGCUGUCGAUCCUCAGCCCGACACCAUGCAGCAGAGUCCGGGGAAGCGCCUCUUCCUCUGCCGGACCAGCGGCUGGGGAGUCAGGUUCAACAAGCUGCUGUCGUCUGAAACGGAAACACGUUGGGAUGAGUCGCAUGGUAGAACGGAAAA
Long non-coding RNA from Xiphophorus hellerii (green swordtail), 367 nucleotides. RefSeq lists it as uncharacterized. Lineage: Eukaryota; Metazoa; Chordata; Actinopteri; Cyprinodontiformes; Poeciliidae. The transcript has 2 exons. The record is from RefSeq and is a predicted model, not a curated record.